This 314-nucleotide ribosomal RNA is filed under the name uncultured bacterium. RNAcentral describes it as "bacterial SSU rRNA". It matches the Rfam family "Bacterial small subunit ribosomal RNA", at positions 32 to 333 of the family's 1533-position model. The record is from RNAcentral.
AAUCAACGCUGGCGGCGUGCCUAACACAUGCAAGUCGAGCGAGAAAAGGGGAGCAAUCUCCUGAGUAAAGCGGCGCACGGGUGAGUAACACGUGGGUAAUCUGCCUUGGAGUGGGGAAGUAACACCGGGAAACCGGGUGCUAAUACCGCAUACGAUGACGAGAUCUGCGGAUUUUGUCAUGAAAGGAAGCAAUUCGCUCCAAGAGGAGCCCGCCGGCUGAUUAGCUAGUUGGUUGAGGUAAUGGCUCACCAAGGCAACGAUCAGUAGCCGGUCUGAGAGGACGGUCGGCCACACUGGAACUGAGACACGGUCCA